Parus major (Great Tit) is the source of this 7346-nucleotide long non-coding RNA. RefSeq lists it as uncharacterized. Lineage: Eukaryota; Metazoa; Chordata; Aves; Passeriformes; Paridae. The record is from RefSeq and is a predicted model, not a curated record. The transcript is spliced from 6 exons.
CAGCCAUUCAAGUGGUGCUGGUGCUGUAGGAGCUUUCUUUUAUAUCUCUUCUAGUUGCUGUCUGAACACAAAGAUGGCUUUUUCUGGGAAGAUGAUGGAGGAUAAAAGACAGAAGAGGUUUUAUUUAUAUAGGUUGUUUUCCUCAUACCUAAAAGUCUUCCUAAGACCUUGCCAGUGAGUUUUCCCAUGUGAACCAUCUCCCAGCCUCCCCAGUGAUGAGGAUUAUGCUCAGCUUUGGGAUUUAUAACCUGUUUUAUUGUAGAAGGGAAGGGUGACCUGAGCAUGGGACUAGACCUGCUGUGUCUUUUGUCAUGGAGCCACCAACUUCCAGAGUAGCUCCCAGAGCUGGACAGGAGUAGCCAUGGCUUUGUAUUUCAGUUGAAGCCCAGCCAGCCCUGAUGACAGCGCUGUCAAACUAACACGGGGUGAGAAUUUGCACUGGCACCUCUGCAUCAGGGUGAUGGGCACUUUAGGAAUGCACAGACAAAAAUACAGACAGGAUAUUGAUGGGUAAACUAAUGUGUGGACUUGUACUUACAAGCUCAGGCUCAGAGGUGAAUAUUCUGACAACUGAAACGUUUUGACAUGAGUUCUUAUUAAGAAAACGUGUGAACCAGUUUGGAUGGAAUCGAAAGUGUCUUUACCCACAGACCAGGAAACAAUCUGCUGGAGAUUUGGAAAGAGCUGUAGCUGGCCUUUCCUACAGUCCUGCUUUUCCUACAGCCCCUCAUGGGGCUGCAAUAGCAGAAAGUGACUCUGUGAAAUGUGGCCCAACGUGUUUUGGCCCAGGUGAUACUGGGGUGUGAGCACCGAGUUCAGAAGUGCUCAUGGAUCUGGGAAUCUCUCUUUAACACAGCCUUUAAAAUUCUAACUGUACUGCAGUUGCCUGGGAUUUUUUAUUUUUUUUUUUCCUAAUGCAUGAUAUUUGAAUUUCCUUUGAGGAAGAGAGACUGUAAAUAAAUCAAGUGAAGGGAUUUUUUUUUUCCCAUGACAUAAUUCAAAAAGCCAUCUCAGAAAACACCCAAUGUCUCUGCCACCCCAACCUGAUUUAGGGUUCAGAGUGACAGAGCAUCUGGAAUAUUUUGGGAGAAGGGCUACUUCCUUCUCCCAACAGGGAAGCUCUUGCCCAGUAGCUGGUCUCAGUUUUGUGGUAAAUGUGUCGGUAAAUAGCACUCAGAGCUGCCUACAAAAAUCUCUUUAGUGUCUCCCAGGGGUCUGAGGAGCUAAUGUUGAAAUUGUUGGAGGCAGAAUAAGAUCCUAUAAAAACUGAGCAAGGAAUCUGGCAUGUUCUUCGUACUUGAGUGAAACCUGACUUUUAAUGAUCUCACCAUCGUUUUGUAGUUGAGGUUAAGCACAAAGUCUUGUGGGAUGCACUGCAGGAUUAUGUCAGAGAAUGAGGGACACUUAUACAGGAAUUUUAGGACAGCAAGCACCCUUAAAGGGGCAUUUCAAAACUCCUCUAGAUAUUUAUGAUCUCUUUGAGAGAGCCCCAGUCUUGCGACUUGUCCUUUAAAACACUCUGGGGAUGAAAUGUUUCAAAGAAGCCUUGAUUAGUUUAGUCCCCCUCCUUUUUUUCUCCACUGUGUUUUUUUUUAAUUUUUUUUUUUUUUAAACCAACCAGAAAUUUAUCAUCAUGCCUACUUCUGCAGAGUAGUAUUGUGUAAGCCUGAUAUACAUUUUCCAUGUAAAAACUCAACCUGUCAAUCAACAUUUUAAAAACUGCAGUGUCUCUACUUAGCAAUGUAAAUAAAACUGCUUUAUUUACAGAGGCUUAGGAACUAUGAAGGAUAAGGUAUAGAAGGAAGGAAUCACCAAGUAUGUGAAAAAAUAGCAAAAUGGCUCCAGAUUUUUUAAUGGAACAGGUUAAAUUUCUUUUUGAGGGAAAGUUAAUAUAUUUAAAUACACGUGGGCAAAUUCCCUUGUCUCCUGGAGAGUUAGGACACGACUCUGUGCUCUGUAGCAGCACUUUUCUGCUGCUGCUGCAAAUGUGCUUUGUACCCAUGUUAAAGGAUGCUGCUCCAAAGCAGAGAAUUAGACCUCGGCAUGUAAAAUAGGGAGGUGAUGCAAAGCAAUUUGAGUAGGAAAUCCUGGGACAUUAGUGAUGCUCCAAGUGCAAAUUUUAAUAUGGAUUUAACUGCAGAGCUGCUACUGAGGCCUCAGUAAUGUUAUUUUAAGGUUAAUUUGGAAGCCUCGUUCGAGGUUUUGGCUGCCUAACAGCCACUGUCAUUAGUGAGAGUUGCAUGGUUGAGUUCCUGCCCUGGAAAUCUCCCUCUCUCCAGUUGUUUAUGUACAUAGAAAUAAAUGAGCAAAUAGACCAUUCUUUGAGGAGACAAUUUGGUGUAUAAUAACACAUUAAUGUUUUAAUCCAGUCAUCUGUACUCCCACAAGGCAGGCAAAGGAGCCUCAGAUCUGAGUUCUGAACCUUUUCUUAAUGACAGAUUUCUUUGGUCAGAAGCAAGUCAAGCUCUCCCUUUGUCAUCCUGGCUUAUUUUUCAGUCUUGCUGUCUUUCCACAAGACAGCAGUGAGAGAUUGCUAUGAAACUAAUUAAUGUCUGACAGCCAGAUCGAACCAAAUAUCCAAAGGAUUCAGACUACAGUUCAUUCCCCUUUACAAAGCAGAACACCACGAGGCAGGAAACAUAUAGAUGACAUUAUUAUACUAACAAAUAGCUGAGGGAAUUUUCUUGCUCAUUUUAUCCAAAUUAGACAAUUUCAGACAAUUAUGGUUAAACUCCCCUCCCAGACUGCUGCUCAGUUACCUUGAUGUGUUGGUGGCUGUAAAGAGAUAUAUAUGAAAUAUUACCUGAGAGGGAAGCUGUGUGCUUUAGUGGACCUCUAUUGUCUCUCAGACUGCGACCACAAGGGAGAAAUAAGGGUCAUGUGUCAUAUAUGCAUAGCCAAAGUAUAGAAGAUUUAUGACUUAGUGAAUAUGUAGAUACGCUGGUGUUCUUGACCAAGCUGUGGAAGCUGUCCUUGAGUGUGCCUGAGGUUUUGCUGUUAAAAAAAAAUACUUCAAAGCAAGAAAGAGACAAACAAUUACACACACGGAGUCUUGGAACACUUGGGCAGUGUUCUCUGCAAUCGCAAAAAUAAUGACUGCUCAUCCUGGUCUCUUGGGGGGGAAAUUUCCAUAUUUUUGCUUUCGAGGCACUUUCAAAGCCAUUUACUGCCAUAAUUCAUACACCGCUGGAUUAAGAACCAUAUGCCUCUUAAAAUCAGCAAGAGGCUAUGUAGAGGAUUUGCUGAUUUAAGGAAAAGGCAAAAAUAAAAAUCAAAUAGGCAGAUUGAGACCUACUUUUACUUCAAAGGAUAUAAUCACACCAGUUUGGCAGUCCACUCAUUAAGAAAUAGUUCCUGAUUAAUUGGCUAGAGUGACAAGAAGAAAUAUCAAACCUCAGAGUGUUGACCGCUGCAUUUGAUUUUAUCCUGACCGUGGUGUCUGUUGGUCAGCAGUUCCCUGCAAUUGUUGGCAGUUCAUUCAACCCAAGCUGUAUCCAGGGGAUUAAACACUGCUGGUGGAUCAGGAGGGGAACAUUUCAUCUGCAAAACAGAAACCAGGGAAGGUCCUGUGGCAUCGGCUCUGAAGGAUCACACUUGGCUACGUUAGAUCACAGCACGAUACAAACUCACUGCACUUCUCAGAAGAACAUGCACAGAUUUCCCUGCUCUGAAGCAAAAUACUUCCAAAUUCUACAAUUCCUAAUCUUUUCUGCAAUGGGAGAUGGAAAGAAAAUCUAUUUUUUCUUCAUCAAAUCGAUGGCAUUUUCUAUUUACAACCAACAUGCUCAAUGAUAACACCAGUCCCUGUAUGACAUUAAAAUAAAAUCUGCAUCAAUGCUGACAGCAUGGGUGCAGAUACAGUAUUUGUGUCUUCUUGGGGAAAUUGGAGUUAAUAACUUUCACUAAACUUGCUGAUUUUUCUGUACAGAGAUUUUUCAGGUGAUUUAUUUGCUACACACUCUUAAAGACAGGUUUGAUCCUGCUGAAUUGGAAGGACCUCUUGCUUCAAAAAUAGAAUCUAAUGGUUGACACAUUUUUUCCUGGACAAGAUCAACAGGGCUGCAUACAGAGAAAUGUAAAAACACGUUUCUCUUCCCCUUGUGGUAAUAUUCCUGUCUGUGUAGGAAAAAGGGAAAUAUGAGAACAUGAUGGGAUUCAUGCUAAUGCUGCUUGUGUCACUUCAGUAAGGACCCUCUUCAGUCCACUGCUGGUUUCUGAGACAACACAGCCUCCAAUAUUUUGUAGAGAAAACCUUGUUUAUGUCCCUCUUUAGUUUUAGUGCCUGGAGAGCAGCUCUUGGGGAACAUCUGCGAGGAGCUGCAUUGAUUUCCCAUUCCUCAGAAGGCCCCACCUGGAGCUUUUCAUCCUGUUUGGGCCAAUGCAAUUUGGGAAAGAUUUGAAUGAGCAGGACACAGUUUAGAGGAGAGCAGGGAGAAUAAAUCAGAAGCCCAGAAAAUAUGGCCCACAAAGAUUAAAGGAAAUGGGUUACUGAGCCUGAGGCACUGAUGUCUGGGAGCAAGACUGCUCUUUUCACAUAGAUAAAUCUCCCUGUCUCUGCUGGACAAAGCAAUGGACUGAAAGUAGCAAGAGCCAGGAUGGAUUUUAAAAAAGCCUUCCUGGUCAGGGAGGUUAUAGCAGCACUGGAGGAGGUGGCUGGAGUCUCUUUCACUGUGUCCUGCCUGGAAGCAGGUAGAGGAACAUCUGGUAGAAAGAAUGUAAUUUGCUUUCAAAGGAAAAAUGACCUUUAAAUCUCAGGGCCUUUUUCCACAAUGUGAUUCUGGAUCUCUCCAUGCAGGUCCUGAAACUGCUGCUGUUACAGUAUAUUAUAGCAGUCCUGGAAGUUCCUUAUAGCAGGAAGAAUUUCCUGCUUCCCUUCCUUUUCCUGGAAAGAUGCUAUCCAUAGGUGGAAAACCUCUCAAAAAAAUCAGUUUGAGUAAAGGCUAUUCGCUUUUUGAAAUAUUUAUAGGGGCCAACAGGUACAAAAGCAUCUAGAAAACAAAUUUUUGCUCAUUUUUUAUCACUCAUUUCUUUUUCAAGGUCUUAAAACUUUAAAAAGAAACCUGGCCUAAAACUCCAUGCUUCCCAUCCCCUUGGCAGAAGUACAGGACACCUGAGGAUAUUGACUGAACAAGCCCCCCAAACACCAGCCUUGGAAUUCACUUUUUGCUCCUUUUUGAAAGAGCAAACAAUCACGUCUGCAAUAAUGUAAAUUUUGCUUUCAUUAUGACUGUACUCCCACAAGCUAAUUACAUUUCAGACACAAAGCCUGUCAACUUUCCUGCUCUGUGGUGAUAAAGGAACCUGCUGGGUAAAAUAGCCACCACUCAUGUGUUAUUUCGGGAAAUAUCUAGCCAGCUGUGGGAGAGAGGCCUUGUUUUUGUGUUGAAGUAAAGAAACAAAACAGGAAAACUCCAGUAGUUCUAGUAAAUGCAAGUGGCCAUAAUGAUCAAUAUGAUUGGACAACAUAGUUUAAAAUUAAUCACAGUCUUUGUUUAAGGAACCUGUCUGGUUUUGCUUUGCAUGUUCUUUUCCAUAUUUAUUGAGAGUACCAACUGAAAUUGAGACCCUUUCCUCUGGGAUUUAAGGCUGCAUGUUUUCCUUUGCAGCCAGGGUGGGCUGGAGCUGUUCCAGAGCUGUGCAAGAGUGGCUUAAUUUCUUCCCAGCUUAUGUCCUAGAGGUUUUCACCCUAACCAGCUUAAACAGCUGUCCAGGGAGAAAAAGAACAUUCCAUCAGUCCUGCAAUUCAGUGCUCAUGCAGCACUUGCUUUUGAGAUCUGUUUUAACUAAACCACCUGAUAAUUUUUUUCUCUCCUUUUUUUUUUUUUCCACCUGAGCAAAUAAGAGCACUCCCAGAUUUGGAUUUGCCAGCUGAAAUGUGAAGGUGACAUGGAGCAGAGGGGUGAUGAACAGCCCAACAAACCAGGGGUGAAGGCAGCAUCUUUCCCUGCAUGGCCCUUCCCAUAACAGGCUUCUGGGAGGAACACAAAGGCACUUCCAGAGUGAAACAAUGAAUGUUAACUCAAGAAAUGUGAAUUGUUUUUAAUUUCCUGUGGAAAAGCUUCAGACAUCUAACCUCAAGACAGAAGUAAAUGCAUCGUGUGUUAAUCAGGCAGAAUAAGGAAUAGGAAAACAGGAGUCUGGGUGCAAACAUUUCACAAAUCUCAGUGAUGUGUUUUAUCACUGAGGGGCAGUUUACAGAAGUGUUACUUGAAGUGUUGCACAGACAUUGAGAGACCAGCACCAGUGACACAGGAGCAUCAGGAGGGAUGAUAAAAGGAGGCUUUUCAGCUUAUGCCCUUUCUAAAUGUGGUCAGGAGAAAACAGAAACCUGCUGAGUUCACCCUGUAGUAAGUUUGUGGAUGAGGAUGAGCCCUGCCCACCUUUGCUCCUCACAGCAGUGGUUCAGCCAAGCAGUUGGAGCCCUGACAAUCCAGUGCUCCCAGCCAGGGAAAGACAAUCUGAUCGCAGUCCAUGCCUCUCACUGAGCAAGACAAGGUGACAGAGCAAGCAUUGAAAGGAAUCUGUGCAACACUUGGGAAUUCAAAAUUUCAUCAUUUUGUCAGGUUUUAAAUUGUGACAUCACCUUAUGUUUCUCAACCGGAAACACGCAGCUCUCUAGAGAAUAUCAAAAAGAUCUGAGAAGCAGCAGCAUGGAGAGUGCAUCCAGCCCUGUGGCACUCCAGAGCUGUGGCCCUUAGGAAUUCUGCUGACAUGUACCUUGUAGUUGUACUUGUAAAACGAGGAACCCUCCCAGAUGCCUCUCCUCUGCAGAAGUGAAUUAACAUCCUGUCAUAGACCCUUUUCAGUUAUCUCAGCCCUGGGCUUGAGUGCAGAGUUCUUGUCAAUAAAGCCUGAUAAACAAAUGCAAUACUUGGAGUGUUUAAAAACACGGCAUCGGUUUUGUGGCUGUGAAUUUCAUUAACUCUCUAAGCAGAAUUGGACUUUUGCUGGUAAUUCAUUCAAAGCAAGUAGCCAGUGUGUAAAUCCUUAGUUCUGUGGUAAAGCCUGUGCAUGCAAAAUUAAACUGGAUGAAAUCUAGAAGCCUGUGUGGGUAUUUUGGGUAAAUUUACAGCUUUUGUACUCAGCCUUUCUUCUGAUGGAAUUAAUAAAUGUUUGGGAUUGUUGCAGCUGCAGUCAACUCCUGUAAUAUAUUGAUUAGCAUCAUAUUGACAAAAAAUUGGUCUCUGUUAACCAGGAACAGCACAGUGUUACACAGGUUACAAAAGUUAUAUAAAGUGUGCCGACAUGUUUGGAGAAGUGACACAUCACACACAGUCAAUAAUGAUGGAAAUUGGAGCAGAAUUCUCCAGCUCAGCCUUGAUUAUCUCGCAGAAAGUGAUCCUAGG